This 236-nucleotide ribosomal RNA is filed under the name uncultured bacterium. RNAcentral's name for it is "partial 16S ribosomal RNA". It matches the Rfam family "Bacterial small subunit ribosomal RNA", at positions 100 to 334 of the family's 1533-position model. The record is from RNAcentral.
CGGGACGGGUGAGUAACGCGUGGAUAACCUGCCUCACACUGGGGGAUAACAGUUAGAAAUGACUGCUAAUACCGCAUAAGCGCACAGUACCGCAUGGUACAGUGUGAAAAACUCCGGUGGUGUGAGAUGGAUCCGCGUCUGAUUAGCCAGUUGGCGGGGUAACGGCCCACCAAAGCGACGAUCAGUAGCCGACCUGGGAGGGUGACCGGCCACAUUGGGACUGAGACACGGCCCAA